GUAGGUGGCAAGCGUUGUCCGGAAUUAUUGGGCGUAAAGCGCGCGCAGGCGGUUCUUUAAGUCUGAUGUGAAAGCCCACGGCUCAACCGUGGAGGGUCAUUGGAAACUGGAGAACUUGAGUACAGAAGAGGAAAGCGGAAUUCCACGUGUAGCGGUGAAAUGCGUAGAGAUGUGGAGGAACACCAGUGGCGAAGGCGGCUUUCUGGUCUGUAACUGACGCUGAGGCGCGAAAGCGUGGGGAGCAAACAGGAUUAGGUACCCUGGUAGUCCACGCCGUAAACGAUGAGUGCUAAGUGUUAGGGGGUUUCCGCCCCCUUAGUGCUGCAGCUAACGCAUUAAGCACUCCGCCUGGGGAGUACGGCCGCAAGGCUG
RNAcentral lists this ribosomal RNA (372 nucleotides) under uncultured organism. Its description in RNAcentral is "partial 16S ribosomal RNA". It matches the Rfam family "Bacterial small subunit ribosomal RNA", at positions 527 to 896 of the family's 1533-position model. The record is from RNAcentral.